UGGGGAAUAUUGGACAAUGGGCGAAAGCCUGAUCCAGCCAUGCCGCGUGUGUGAAGAAGGCCUUUUGGUUGUAAAGCACUUUAAGCGAGGAGGAGGCUACUUGGAUUAAUACUCUAGGAUAGUGGACGUUACUCGCAGAAUAAGCACCGGCUAACUCUGUGCCAGCAGCCGCGGUAAUACAGAGGGUGCGAGCGUUAAUCGGAUUUACUGGGCGUAAAGCGUGCGUAGGCGGCUUCUUAAGUCGGAUGUGAAAUCCCUGUGCUUAACUUAGGAAUUGCAUUCGAUACUGGGAAGCUAGAGUAUGGGAGAGGAUGGUAGAAUUCCAGGUGUAGCGGUGAAAUGCGUAGAGAUCUGGAGGAAUACCGAUGGCGAAGGCAGCCAUCUGGCCUAAUACUGACGCUGAGGUACGAAAGCAUGGGGAGCAAACAGG
This 430-nucleotide ribosomal RNA is filed under the name Acidobacteriota bacterium. Its description in RNAcentral is "Acidobacteria bacterium partial 16S ribosomal RNA". It matches the Rfam family "Bacterial small subunit ribosomal RNA", at positions 355 to 776 of the family's 1533-position model. The record is from RNAcentral. Lineage: Bacteria; Pseudomonadati; Acidobacteriota.